Molecule: small nuclear RNA, 188 nt
Filed under: Mus musculus (house mouse)
Lineage: Eukaryota; Metazoa; Chordata; Mammalia; Rodentia; Muridae
Description: 7SK RNA
Rfam family: 7SK RNA
About the family: 7SK was discovered as an abundant small nuclear RNA in the mid-70s but a possible function has only recently been suggested. Two independent studies have found that 7SK RNA binds the CDK9/cyclin T complex (known as elongation factor P-TEFb).
Source: Rfam by way of RNAcentral
AGGUGUAAGGGCAAUCUGGCUUUAAAAUCCAUUACCCCACUGAUUACCAGGUUGAUUCAACUGAUGUGGCUGGCUAGGUGGAUGUCCCUACCCUUCUUCAGUGCUCCAUGUGCAUACCCCCUAAGUGCCACACUUGCCUACAGAGGAUGACUCCCCAGUAGAGCCUCCAAACAAGCUCUUAAGACCUG